UCCACGGAGACUUGUGUUCUGGCUACCACGCUGAGUAUUGGUCUUCCUGCGUUGUUCCAAUUGUGUUAUAGUUAAACUCCCAUUUUCUGUUUUGUAAUUUACCUUAUUGUUUAAUAAACCCCUAGACUAAAACAAGCCCUAUUGACUUUUUCGGUCAUUCUAUGUUGUGGCCAGUGUGCCUGGCCAUAACAUUUGGGUCCUCGUCCGCUCUUUAGAGAUUGUUAGGAAGUAGCAGGAAAUUUUGAGUGCGACUUUGGGUGAGUACCAUAAUUUUUUCUGGGUAGAGGAGCGUGCACCUCAAUUUAGUAAGCCGCCGGGCAGACACUGAGUCUGCCACUUUAUUAUUUUAGUUUCAUUAUUUUUGGUGGUGAUGACCCUUAGUUGGUACGUUUCGGAGGUUGUGGUAGGCUGCGCAAUCGGUCUGCUAUGUCCUCACGGGUUCAACGUUCAAAGUACACCAGUGUAGCAGAUUGGGCUACGCCCUAUUAUUUGGCUCCUUUGCUUCUCUCCCUGUGCUGGAUUGGUGUGGCUGCGUUCAUCCUAAUUACGGGGCGGACCUAGGCAGACUUAUAUCUAGGAACGCAAAUUGCUACCUGGAUGUGCUACUUUCUCUCUUUCCCGUCUUCCGGGGCGCAUAGUUUGGCGUGGAUCACAACUUGGAUGGUGAAGCCGCCAUCAAGUGAAUGCUCUCACGAGUAAGAGCUUGGUCUGUCCUGUCGGCGUUGAGGCCGGUGUAGCACUGUUGAGCCUGGUGUCUGCCUUAAAGCAGCUAGAGCAGUGUUGUCC
Molecule: long non-coding RNA, 786 nt
Organism: Alosa alosa (allis shad)
Lineage: Eukaryota; Metazoa; Chordata; Actinopteri; Clupeiformes; Clupeidae
Exons: 3
Source: RefSeq, a predicted model, not a curated record